Molecule: ribosomal RNA, 926 nt
Filed under: Aporcelaimellus obtusicaudatus
Lineage: Eukaryota; Metazoa; Nematoda; Enoplea; Dorylaimida; Aporcelaimidae
Description: SSU rRNA
Rfam family: Eukaryotic small subunit ribosomal RNA
Source: RNAcentral
AAAGAUUAAGCCAUGCAUGUCUAAGCACAUGCCUUAAUACGGUGAAGCCGCGAAUAGCUCAUUACAACAGCCACCGUUUACUAGAAUAUAGUUAUCCUACUUGGAUAACUGUGGCAAUUCUAGAGCUAAUACAUGCAAAAAAGCUCUGCCCGCAAGGAACGAGCGCAUUUAUUAGAAUAAAAACCAAUCGGGUUUCGGCCCGUAAUUUGGUGAAUCUGAAUAACUUUGCCAAUCGCACAGUCCUAGUACUGGCGAUGUAUCUUUCAAGUGUCUGCCUUAUCAACUUUCGAUGGUAGGUUAUACGCCUACCAUGGUAGUAACGGGUAACGGAGAAUAAGGGUUCGACUCCGGAGAGGGAGCCUGAGAAACGGCUACCACAUCCAAGGAAGGCAGCAGGCGCGCAAAUUACCCACUUCCAGAACGGAGAGGUAGUGACGAAAAAUAACGAGACAGUCCUCUUCGAGGUCUGUCAUCGGAAUGGGUACAAUUUAAAUCCUUUAACGAGGAUCUAUUGGAGGGCAAGUCUGGUGCCAGCAGCCGCGGUAAUUCCAGCUCCAAUAGCGUAUAUUAAAGUUGUUGCGGUUAAAACGCUCGUAGUUGGAUCUGCGGCCUCGGAGAACGGUCCCCCGAAAGGGUGGUCACUGUCUCUCCUAGCCUAAAUUCGAGUCGUCUCUAGGUGCUCUUUACCGGGUGCUUAGAGUGACUAGAACGUUUACUUUGAAAAAAUUAGAGUGCUUAAAGCAGGCGAAAUAGCCUGAAUAAGGUGCAUGGAAUAAUGGAAUAGGACCUCGGUUCUAUUUUGUUGGUUUUCGGAGCCUGAGGUAAUGAUUAAGAGGAACAGAUGGGGGCAUUCGUAUUCCGGCGCUAGAGGUGAAAUUCUUGGACCGCCGGAAGACGGACGACUGCGAAAGCAUUUGCCAAGAAUG